AGAAUUUGAUCCUAGUUCAGGAUGAAUGUUGGCAUUGUGCCUUAAGCAUGCAAGUCGAGCGGUGAAGUCUUUCAAUCGCAAGAAAGAGAGACGGAGCAGCGGCAGACGGGUGAGUACAAGAUAGGAAUCUACCUCUUGAUGGGGGACAGCUCGCCGAAAGGCGGGGUAAUACCGCAUAAGUUCGUAAGAAGAAAGCCGCAAGGCGUCGAGAGAUGAGCCUAUUCGCUAUCAGCUAGUUGGUGGGGUAAAAGCCUACCAAGGCUAUGACGGCUAGGGGGUGUGAGAGCACGACCCCCCACAAGGUUACUGAGACACGGAACCUACACCUACGGGUGGCAGCAACUGGGAAUUUUGCGCAAUGGACGAAAGUCUGACGCAGCGACAAUGCGUGUGGGAUGAAGGCCUUCGGGUUGUAAACCACUGUGGUAGUGAAUGAACAAAAUGACAGUACACUAUUAGAAAGCACCUGCUAACUACGUGCCAGAAGCCUCGGUAAUACGUAGGGUGCAAACAUUAUCCGGAAUCACUGGGCGUAAAGAGUAUCGUAGGCGGUUGGUUAAGUGGAGGGUUAAAGCCUGGAGCUCAACUCCAGAGAUGCCCUUCAAACUGGCUUACUUGUGGAAAUUCGGGGGUAUCGGAAUUCUUGGUGGAGGAGUGAAAUCCGUUGAUAUCAAGAAGAACACCAAUGGCGAAGGCAGAUACCUAGGGUUUUCCAGACGCUGAUGAACGAAAGCUAGGGGAGCGAAAGGGAUUAGAGACCCCUGUAGUCCUAGCCGUAAACGAUGAACACUAGCUAUUCCCGCAAGGGAGUGGCGCAAGCUAACGCGUUAAGUGUUCCGCCUGGGGAGUACGACCGCAAGGUUAAAACUCAAAGGAAUUGACGGGGAAACGCACAACCAGCGUGCCAUGUGGUUUAAUUCGAAACAAAACGAUAGACCUUACCUGGGUUUGAAAUAACACCGUUUAGUCACCUGGAAACAGGAGAUGAUCCGCAAGGAUGGUGCUACAGCUGCUGCAUGGCUGUCGUCAGUUCGUGUCGUGAGGCGUCGAUUUAAGUAUCGUAACGAACGCAACCCCUGCUGUAUGUUAAAUAUCCAUACGGGACUGCCCUGCUUUUUUAGUGGGGAGGAAGGAGGGGAUGAUGUCAAGUCAGCAUGGCGCUUACAUCCAGGGCCACACACAUGGCGUAAUGGUCGGGACAACGGGUCGCGAAGGAGUAAUCCGGAGCUAAUCCUAAUAAACCCGACCUCAGUUCGGAUUGUGGGCUGAAACUCGCCCACAUGAAGGGGAGUUGGUAGUAAUCGCAGAUCAGCAAUACUGCGGUGAAUACGUUCUCGUUUCUUGUACACACCGCCCGUCAAGUCAACAAAGUUAGUAGUACCCGAAGUCGAUUCCCUUAACCGCAAGGAAAGGGGCGCCUAAGGUAAGACUAGCGAUGGGGGCUAAGUCGUAACAAGGUAUCCGUUCUGGAAGGAGCGGAUG
RNAcentral lists this ribosomal RNA (1482 nucleotides) under groundwater metagenome. RNAcentral describes it as "bacterial SSU rRNA". It matches the Rfam family "Bacterial small subunit ribosomal RNA". The record is from RNAcentral.